CUGCUGCCUUCCGUAGGAGUCUGGUCCGUGUCUCAGUACCAGUGUGGGGGACCUUCCUCUCAGAACCCCUACGCAUCGUCGCCUCGGUGGGCCGUUACCCCGCCGACUAGCUAAUGCGCCGCAUGCCCAUCCCCCGCCGGAAUCGCUUCCUUUGGCCGCAGACCCAUGCAGGUCCGCGGCGUUACGCGGUAUUAGUCGGGAUUUCUCCCGGUUAUCCCCCUGCGGGGGGCAGGUCGCAUACGUGUUACUCACCCGUGCGCCGGUCGCCGG
Molecule: ribosomal RNA, 270 nt
Filed under: uncultured bacterium
Lineage: Bacteria
Description: partial 16S ribosomal RNA
Source: RNAcentral